This 270-nucleotide signal recognition particle RNA is filed under the name Nanobdellota archaeon. Its description in RNAcentral is "signal recognition particle sRNA". It matches the Rfam family "Archaeal signal recognition particle RNA". Lineage: Archaea; Nanobdellati; Nanobdellota. The record is from RNAcentral. RNAcentral also lists the same sequence under 1 other name.
AUAUUGCUAGACUGGGUGGCUCAUCCUCACCUGUUACCGCAAAUGGAUGUUGGCGGGGUUGAAGCCUGAGGGGCGGCGUUGCUUGAGCCAGAAGUCUUGGUUGGACCGUCGAUGCCUUGUCCUCUAGGAUCAUGAUUUUUAUGAACUGAGUCAGAUCAGGAAUGAAGCAGCUCUAAAUAUUAAUCAUGGUGCUUAGAGGGUCGCAGGGCUGAGGAAAAAUCAAGGUCGCUUUUGACUUUAGUUUACGUCCACCUUCAGGCACGCACUUAU